UGGAAGUAAAAGUCGUAACAAGGUCUCCGUUGGUGAACCAGCGGAGGGAUCAUUACCGAGUUUACAACUCCCAAACCCAAUGUGAACCAUACCAAACUGUUGCCUCGGCGGGGUCACGCCCCGGGUGCGUCGCAGCCCCGGAACCAGGCGCCCGCCGGAGGGACCAACCAAACUCUUUCUGUAGUCCCCUCGCGGACGUUAUUUCUUACAGCUCUGAGCAAAAAUUCAAAAUGAAUCAAAACUUUCAACAACGGAUCUCUUGGUUCUGGCAUCGAUGAAGAACGCAGCGAAAUGCGAUAAGUAAUGUGAAUUGCAGAAUUCAGUGAAUCAUCGAAUCUUUGAACGCACAUUGCGCCCGCCAGUAUUCUGGCGGGCAUGCCUGUCCGAGCGUCAUUUCAACCCUCGAACCCCUCCGGGGGUCCGGCGUUGGGGAUCGGGAACCCCUAAGACGGGAUCCCGGCCCCGAAAUACAGUGGCGGUCUCGCCGCAGCCUCUCAUGCGCAGUAGUUUGCACAACUCGCACCGGGAGCGCGGCGCGUCCACGUCCGUAAAACACCCAACUUCUGAAAUGUUGACCUCGGAUCAGGUAGGAAUACCCGCUGACUUAAGCAUAUCAAUAGCGCGGAGGA
This 629-nucleotide ribosomal RNA is filed under the name Trichoderma virilente. RNAcentral's name for it is "eukaryotic LSU rRNA". The stretch from base 240 to 393 matches the Rfam family "5.8S ribosomal RNA". Lineage: Eukaryota; Fungi; Ascomycota; Sordariomycetes; Hypocreales; Hypocreaceae. The record is from RNAcentral.